Molecule: long non-coding RNA, 781 nt
Filed under: Mustela putorius furo (domestic ferret)
Lineage: Eukaryota; Metazoa; Chordata; Mammalia; Carnivora; Mustelidae
Description: lncRNA (ENSMPUG00000029426.1)
Source: RNAcentral
GUCCACACCUCGCAAUUCGCUGGCCUCCAGAGCAGGUGUAUAGGGGGGUUCGUCCCCCAAGGCUGGGAAAGUGUGAGUUCCUACCAGGUUGAUGGAAGAUGAAUGUGGGUCCUGACUGUUGGGGUCAAAUGUCAGGCUGCUGGAGAACUCAAGAUCCCAUCUUCACCCUCUUCCCAAGCCUCUAAUCUGAUCAGAAACUUAAAAGUCUGAGAUAAGGCUGUCAGCCUGCAAGAGAGCCCAGAGCAAAGGAGGGAGGAAAGGAGGGAGACCUGGGGAGGACGAGGCACCCAGCACCUUCGCACCUCCUGGGGAGGCAGGUCUGGAACCCUGGAGGAGAUCAUGCAGCCCAUAAGCCCCUACAGCAGCUGGUUGGUGUGGAAACCGUCUCACUUUGCCCAGGGAGGAACACCAAGCCUCCAGGUGAAAAGUGAGAAGAAAAUCAUCACUUUCAUGCUGAGAACACCUCUCCCAAGCACGUGUCCCCCAGAGCACAGGGAAGCCGGAAGCACCGUCAAGGUGGACACACACCUGUAAAAGGGUCUCUCAUCUCUAGGCCCCGGGAUGCCAUGCCAGUUUGCAUCUGUGUGAGGAGGGAGUAAAGUGGGGCCACCUCAACCGUGUGACUUUCACCAUUCUCAACCGUGUGACUUUCACCAUUACGGAUUCAUUUGUUUGGGUCUUGAAGGAAGGGCCUCAGGUGCAUUCUGGAACCCUGAGGACAGGGGAGGGGUCACAGGGCUGAGCUGACAUUAUUAGAGGAAAUCUUUUUCCUCUCACUUUC